This 1081-nucleotide ribosomal RNA is filed under the name Paracorniculantispora psalliotae. RNAcentral describes it as "SSU rRNA". It matches the Rfam family "Eukaryotic small subunit ribosomal RNA", at positions 79 to 1179 of the family's 1831-position model. The record is from RNAcentral. Lineage: Eukaryota; Fungi; Ascomycota; Sordariomycetes; Hypocreales; Cordycipitaceae.
UACAGCGACUGCGAAUGGCUCAUUAUAUAAGUUAUCGUUUAUUUGAUAGUACCUUACUACUUGGAUAACCGUGGUAAUUCUAGAGCUAAUACAUGCUAAAAAUCCCGACUUCGGAAGGGAUGUAUUUAUUAGAUUAAAAACCAAUGCCCUUUGGGCUCCUUGGUGAUUCAUAAUAACUUUUCGAAUCGCAUGGCCUUGCGCCGGCGAUGGUUCAUUCAAAUUUCUUCCCUAUCAACUUUCGAUGUUUGGGUAUUGGCCAAACAUGGUCGCAACGGGUAACGGAGGGUUAGGGCUCGACCCCGGAGAAGGAGCCUGAGAAACGGCUACUACAUCCAAGGAAGGCAGCAGGCGCGCAAAUUACCCAAUCCCGAUUCGGGGAGGUAGUGACAAUAAAUACUGAUACAGGGCUCUUUUGGGUCUUGUAAUUGGAAUGAGUACAAUUUAAAUCUCUUAACGAGGAACAAUUGGAGGGCAAGUCUGGUGCCAGCAGCCGCGGUAAUUCCAGCUCCAAUAGCGUAUAUUAAAGUUGUUGUGGUUAAAAAGCUCGUAGUUGAACCUUGGGCCUGGCUGGCCGGUCCGCCUCACCGCGUGUACUGGUCCGGCCGGGCCUUUCCCUCUGUGGAACCUCAUGCCCUUCACUGGGUGUGGCGGGGAAACAGGACUUUUACUUUGAAAAAAUUAGAGUGCUCCAGGCAGGCCUAUGCUCGAAUACAUUAGCAUGGAAUAAUGAAAUAGGACGUGUGGUUCUAUUUUGUUGGUUUCUAGGACCGCCGUAAUGAUUAAUAGGGACAGUCGGGGGCAUCAGUAUUCAAUUGUCAGAGGUGAAAUUCUUGGAUUUAUUGAAGACUAACUACUGCGAAAGCAUUUGCCAAGGAUGUUUUCAUUAAUCAGGAACGAAAGUUAGGGGAUCGAAGACGAUCAGAUACCGUCGUAGUCUUAACCAUAAACUAUGCCGACUAGGGAUCGGACGAUGUUAUUUUUUGACGCGUUCGGCACCUUACGAGAAAUCAAAGUGCUUGGGCUCAGGGGGAGUAUGGUCGCAGGCUGAAACUUAAAGAAUUGACGAGGCACACAGGGGUGG